AUUGAACGCUGGCGGCAGGCUUAACACAUGCAAGUCGAACGAUGACUCUCUAGCUUGCUAAAAAAGAUUAGUGGCGGACGGGUGAGUAACAUUUAGGAAUCUGCCUAGUAGUGGGGGAUAGCUCGGGGAAACUCGAAUUAAUACCGCAUACCACCUACGGGUGAAGGGGGGCGCAAGCUCUUGCUAUUAGAUGAGCCUAAAUCAUAUUAGCUAGUUGGUGGGGUAAAGGCCCACCAAGGCGACUAUCUGUAACUGGUCUGAGAGGAUGAUCAGUCACACCGGAACUGAGACACGGUCCGGACUCCUACGGGAGGCAGCAGUGGGGAAUAUUGGACAAUGGGGGCAACCCUGAUCCAGCCAUGCCGCGUGUGUGAAGAAGGCCUUUUGGUUGUAAAGCACUUUAAGCAGGGAGGAGAGGCUAAUGGUUAAUACCCAUUAGAUUAGACGUUACCUGCAAAAUAAGCACCGGCUAACUCUGUGCCAGCAGCCGCGGUAAUACAGAGGGUGCGAGCGUUAAUCGGAAUUACUGGGCGUAAAGCGAGUGUAGGUGGCUCAUUAAGUCACAUGUGAAAUCCCCGGGCUUAACCUGAGAACUGCAUGUGAUACUGGUGGUGCUAGA
This 619-nucleotide ribosomal RNA is filed under the name uncultured bacterium. RNAcentral's name for it is "bacterial SSU rRNA". It matches the Rfam family "Bacterial small subunit ribosomal RNA", at positions 28 to 645 of the family's 1533-position model. The record is from RNAcentral.